ACUCGGGAAAAACAACUGAUCUAAGGAUCACACUUUGAAUGUGCCUGGCUUCAAAGACAUUUUUUGGGGGAAAUUCCGAGUUCUCAUGCAGGCUUCAGUGAAUUCUUAUAGUCCAGAGAUCCAUGUUAGCAGGACACCAAGAUAUGUGGUGGCAAAAUCUCUUGGGAAUCUUAUUUCUUAAAUGCAGGAACAUAUGCAAACAAGAUGAUCAGAAAUCUAGCAGCCACCUUUGGUCAAAUAGCCAAAAAGACAAAAAGCCAAAAAAAAAAAAAAAAAAGAAAAAGAAAGAAAGAAAGAAAAAGCAUUGCAGCAGACAUCCUAAAUUCCUUAGCCCACAUAAUAAUAGAUAAAAGGGUUACCUGUAAUUUUUCUACUGACUAAAGAAGGAGGUAUUGGUGCUAAUAUUCACACUAUUUGUUCCACUUACGUCAUUACCCUUGGAGAGGUUUAGACAUGCUUAGGAAAAAACUUCUCAAAAGACACAACGGGCUCUAAGAUGUAACUUGUAACAUCUUGCUCCUUGACAGAAGGGAAGCUCUAGCCAAGACUGAAGUUCCUGCUACCAAGAGACAAUUGGGAUUCCCAGGAAUAGUGAUUUUCUGCUGCAUUUGGAUUCAUAGCAAAACCCCCUUAUGAAGCUCUUAAGGCAGGAGACUGUGAACCUCUAGAUUGGACUAAGGAAUGCUAUAAGGCACUCCAGGUUAUCAAAGAAAAACUGAUAACUGCUCUAGCUUUAUUUAUUUAUUUUUGGUCUGGUCAGCAGCAUGCAAAAGUUCCUGGGCCAGAGAUUGAACCCGUGCCACAGCGGUUAAAGAUCCAAUGAUAGAUCUUUAACUCCCAGGCCACCAUGGAACUCCUGCCCUGGUUUUAGGUCUUGCAUGUAUCAGAAAGCCUUCUGACUUACUUGUUCAUGAGAUGCAAGGAAUCAGCCUUGGAGCUGUAGCUCAGAACCUGGGUAGCCUAAGGAGGCCUGUUUCAUAUUUCUCAAAGCCAGUAGGUACACUUGCUAAGGGAUGGCCAGUCUGCCUUCAAGCUGUAGUGACUUCUGUGAUCUUUUACAAGAAAUGGAGAAAUUUAUACUAGGACCACCUAUGACUGUGCACCUCACUGUAUUCUCCCCCAGCCCACCCUGAACAAAAGAGCAAAUGUGGGUUAACUUCAGGAAGAUUGGGAAAAUAUCAGGCUUAUAUUAUUGGAUAAUUCUACUGUUACUCUAAAAGCAGUCUCUGCCUUGAAUCUUGCCCCUUUGCUCCGGAUGGAUACUAAAGUGCCUAUACAUGGUGGUAUUCGGAUAAUCAAACGGGUCUAUUCCAGCCAUUCGACCUGAUGGAUUGGCCUUUGGAAGACCCUUUUCCAGACCUUGAGGUGUUCAUAAAUAGGAGUAGCUUUAUGGACCAGGAAUGACACAAGCCUGGGUAGAUGAUGGUGACUGAUCAAGACACUGGAAGCAGAAGCCCUUCCACCAGGUACCUCCACACAAAAGGCGGAACUUAAAGCCCCAACCAAAGCCCUUUCUCGAGAUAAGGGUAAGAGUAAUUAUUUUCACUGAUUGUGAAUUUACUUUAUUGGUGGUCCAUGCCUGUGGGACCUUUUGAAGAAAGAAGACUUUUCAAUGCAGGGAAGAAGGAAAUUAAACAUGCCAAAGAAAUUUUAAACUUAUUAGAAACUGUCAUGGAGCAAAAAGAAUUGGCUAUUGUUUGCUGUCCCGGAUGUCAGAAAUUGACUGCUUAAGGGAAUAAUCCAGCAGAUUAAAUGGCAAAGCUAGCAGCCAUGACUAAAACACAUAGAUGUGCGAUUUGACAAGAGGCUAUCCAGAGUAUUCUCCUGAAGAUUUAGAAAAUGCCAGUGAAUGGGGAUUGAUGGGCAUCCUGGCCAUUUUCAGGAUGACAACUUAGAAGUAUACCAAGGAGGGGUAGAUUUAUAAUAGAUGAGGCAAAGUCCUUGUAUCUGAACAGCUUAUGGAAGAUGUAAUAAACUGUAAACACCAGAGUACCCACUAUGGGAGAAAUGCCAACCUCCAGUGGAUUCAUAAGUUCAUUUUAGGACAAGAAAUGCAAAGGAUAAUUCAAAAGAUGAUACAGAAAUGCAUCGAUGGGCUAAAAAUAAUCCUAAUACUGAGCUGCCAAAGGAAUCCAGACUUGAGGUGUUGGACCCAGCAGAAGACUGGCAGGUGGUACUGCGAUGCCAGGAGCCACUAGAAAUCUUGAGUGCUUACAAGUGUUUGUGGACACUUGUCCUGGUUGAGGCAGAAGCAUUCCUUUAUCGGACUGAAAAAAGCUUCUGAGGUUGUUAAUGGCCCACCAAAGGAAACAAUUCUGAGGUUUGGGUUACCUGUAUCCAUACCGAGUAACAAUUGGAGAUUCUUUUUAGCAAGAAUGACUCGAGAAGUACCUAGAGCCUUAAACCUUCAUCAGAAAUUACAUACUUUUUGGUGAUCCCAAUCUACUGGCAAAAUGGAAAAGAUGAAUCAUACUCUUUAAAAGGAUGUAGCUAAAAUAUGUCAGUCUAAUUUAACCUGGGAUAAGGCCUUACUGGUUGCCCUGCUUCAAGUGAAGAUGGCUCAUAGAAGCUCCAGUUGAGCCCCUAUAAAAUUCUGUAUGGGAGACCCUUCUAUUUUUCAGAAAUGGUUUAGGAAAUCCAGAAGGAACUCAAGGAACUAGACACUGUCAAGUAUGUACAAUCACAGAGACCCACUCUAACUGCUGCAAUUUGCUUCUAGCAGGUUGGUAUUUCUCAUGGAUAUGCCCCUCCACCACUUCUGUCCUAGAAACUGGGUCUUGCUAAAAUCUUGGGAGAGAAAAACAUCCAGAAGACCACCUUCAUCCCUGUUGGACUGGACCUUAUGAGGUGCUAUUCAUGACCCAUUCCUUGGUGAAGAUGAAGGGAAUUAAGCCACAGAUCCAUCGCACUUGAGUUAAGCCGGUCUAGCAGAGAUCAGCCUAGACAAGAAUGCAACAGGAAAAGGAAACCACGCUGCAGAACAGAACCAGAAUCGAGAACAUCCAAACCUUGGCUUCUUCUGCACCCCUGAUACUGACUUUCCUGAGUGGAAAAGUGAAGCCCUUAAAUGCUUUCCAGGAGGAAGACUCAAAAGAAAUUGAGGUGAAGAGAAUUGCUGUGGUGGUGAUGUUGGUAAACUCAUUGCAAAGCAAUCUAAGUAACUCCUUAGGUUACUACAAUGACUAUUCUUUUUUUGUUGUUGUUGUUAAGCUUUCUCUUUGUUUCUAACCUCCCAGGCUUGGAAAGACUCUCAGUGACAGGGAUUUCUCAGACUUUGGCCAAAGUAGGUAAUCUCUCUAGCUGUUGGAUAAAUUAUCCAAAACCUUUUCCUGUGUUUGAUCUUGCUGCCCCCUUGGUUGUGCUGUGAUCAGUUUCCUGGUGGUCCAUAACUUCACUGUGAUUUAGGAUAAAAAGUCCUCAGAACACACCAGGUUAGGCUAAUCGGAGAAUUUCCUGCCCCUUGUUUUCUCUUGACUAAGCCCAAAUUUGGUCCUCUCCUCAUAUCCUCAGACUAAAAUGGAAAUGACCCUGGCAUCUAUCUACCUCUGUCAAAGUUGUGCUUGGUCAAGAUACUGUAGAAACAGCUAUUAUUUUUCCCAGCCUAUGUCCGUUCCAUGUUUAAUACUUAGAUGUUUCAGCCAGACUGAUCGCGAUUGAGACACUCUUAGGUUGUUUUACCUUUCCACGUAUUAAACAUACUCUUAAGGGCCACCCAUACCUCUGCUGACUUGCAAAUCAAACAGCUCUGGAUGUUGCCUUAUACCUAAUCCUGACUUGACCAUGGCCUAGAUACAUUCCCUAAAAAUAAGAGCCUAAGUUCUAACAAUAUGUCUGGCAUUCUGGGUGCCCCCUGAGGGUACAACUUUGUUUGAAGUUUUUUUUUUUUUUUUUUUUUUGUCUUUUAGGGUCACAGCCAUGGCAUAUGGAGGUUCCCAGGCUAGGGGUAUAAUCGGAGCUAUAGCCACCGGCCUACACCAGAGCCACAGCAACAAGGGAUCUGAGCUGUGUCUGUGACCAACACCACAGCUCAUGGCAAUGCCGGAUCCUUAACCCACUGAACGAGGCCAGGGAUCGAACCUGCAACCUCAUGGUUCCUAGUUGGAUUCGUUAAUCACUGAGCCACGACGGGAACUCCUGUCUGCAGUUUUGAUCACCAAUCACCAAUUUUGGGCCUGUGAGCGCCUGAACUGGUGGUAUCUGUUGGGACACUUAGUCACAUCCUUUUUCGUCCACAAUCCAAACAAGGCCUGGCAGUGGACCAGUUCUUUAAAAUUGUUCUCUAGGGGAAAAAACAAAAAAAAAAAA
RNAcentral lists this long non-coding RNA (4305 nucleotides) under Sus scrofa (pig). Its description in RNAcentral is "lncRNA (ENSSSCG00055013506.1)". Lineage: Eukaryota; Metazoa; Chordata; Mammalia; Artiodactyla; Suidae. The record is from RNAcentral.